RNAcentral lists this ribosomal RNA (497 nucleotides) under uncultured bacterium. RNAcentral's name for it is "partial 16S ribosomal RNA". It matches the Rfam family "Bacterial small subunit ribosomal RNA", at positions 28 to 507 of the family's 1533-position model. The record is from RNAcentral.
GAUGAACGCUGGCGGCGUGCCUAAUACAUGCAAGUCGAGCGAACAGACGAGGAGCUUGCUCCUCUGACGUUAGCGGCGGACGGGUGAGUAACACGUGGAUAACCUACCUAUAAGACUGGGAUAACUUCGGGAAACCGGAGCUAAUACCGGAUAAUAUAUUGAACCGCAUGGUUCAAUAGUGAAAGACGGUUUUGCUGUCACUUAUAGAUGGAUCCGCGCCGCAUUAGCUAGUUGGUAAGGUAACGGCUUACCAAGGCAACGAUGCGUAGCCGACCUGAGAGGGUGAUCGGCCACACUGGAACUGAGACACGGUCCAGACUCCUACGGGAGGCAGCAGUAGGGAAUCUUACGCAAUGGGCGAAAGCCUGACGGAGCAACGCCGCGUGAGUGAUGAAGGUCUUCGGAUCGUAAAACUCUGUUAUUAGGGAAGAACAAAUGUGUAAGUAACUAUGCACGUAUUGACGGUACCUAAUCAGAAAGCCACGGCCAACUACGUG